CGACUAGGAUUGUGAUUUGAGGAACAAUAACACGAAAUUGGAUAAGAGGAAGCGAGCGAAAGAGGCAAAUUUGGUUCUAAUUCGUUUCUUGAAGUGUAGUACUAAGUGAUUUUUGCUUCAUUUAUACAAAGGGAAACGGAAAAGGGCAUAUGUGGAUUUUGAACAAGAGUAGGGUUAUGGGCUAAGGACAGAUCCUGUUUGGCGGAGUCGCUACUGUACUAUACAUCAUCAUCUUCUACACGUUUUGAGAGAACG
RNAcentral lists this unclassified non-coding RNA (255 nucleotides) under Hevea brasiliensis (rubber tree). Lineage: Eukaryota; Viridiplantae; Streptophyta; Magnoliopsida; Malpighiales; Euphorbiaceae. The record is from RNAcentral.